GGACCAGGGCUGUGUCCACCAUGGCCUGGGCUGCUGUCCUCCUCAUGAUCCUCUCUCACUGCUCAGGUUCCCUCUCCCAGCCUGUGCUGACUCAGCCGCCCUCCCUCUCUGCAUCCCUGGGGGCAUCAGUGAGACUCACCUGCACCCUGAGCAGUGGCUUCAGGGUUGGGGACUUUGCUAUACGUUGGUAUCAGCAGAAGCCAGGGAGCCCUCCCCGGUACCUCCUGUCCUACUACUCAGACUCAGACAAGCACCAGGGCUCCGGGGUCCCCAGCCGCUUCUCUGGAUCCAAAGACGCCUCCGCCAAUGCAGGGAUCCUGCACAUCUCUGGGCUGCAGGCUGAGGACGAGGCUGACUACUACAGUCUGAUAUGGCAUGACAGCUCUAAGACUCACACAGUGCUCCAGCCACAUGGGGAAGUGAGACAAAAACACCCCUAUUCUCUUGGCCUGGUGCAGGACCCCUUGGUGGUGACUGUGACCAUGUCCAGCUCAGGGAUGACGUCUCCAGUGAUUGUCCUCAGGGCGCAGACCUGA
Nycticebus coucang (slow loris) is the source of this 536-nucleotide non-coding RNA. Lineage: Eukaryota; Metazoa; Chordata; Mammalia; Primates; Lorisidae. The record is from the annotation of a RefSeq genome assembly.